RNAcentral lists this unclassified non-coding RNA (334 nucleotides) under soil metagenome. RNAcentral's name for it is "partial contains 5.8S ribosomal RNA, internal transcribed spacer 2, and large subunit ribosomal RNA". The stretch from base 1 to 120 matches the Rfam family "5.8S ribosomal RNA", at positions 35 to 154 of the family's 154-position model. The record is from RNAcentral.
GAUGAAGAACGUAGCGAAAUGCGAUAAGUAAUGUGAAUUGCAGAAUUCAGUGAAUCAUCGAAUCUUUGAACGCACAUUGCGCCCGCCAGUAUUCUGGCGGGCAUGCCUGUUCGAGCGUCAUUUCAACCAUCAAGCCCUGCUUGCGUUGGGGUCCUGCGGCUGCCCGCAGGCCCUGAAAACCAGUGGCGGGCUCGCUAGUCACACCGAGCGCAGUAAUACAUCUCGCUUUGGGCGUGCGGCGGGUUCUUGCCGUUAAACACCCCCUUUUUACAAAGGUUGACCUCGGAUCAGGUAGGAAUACCCGCUGAACUUAAGCAUAUCAAUAAGCGGAGGA